CCUGGGACAAGGCCAUUUGUUAGCCGGAUGAGAGCUGAAACCAGAACGCAGAGGUGCCGCCUUGCUUGACCUCAGCUGGGAAUGCGUGCAACAGGCAACUCAAAUUUGUCACCGCUCUGCCCAUGUCUGCAAACGACCGUCACAGUGCUAUGAGGAAACUAUAGAGCAGUAAAGCAACACGUCCAAAGUUACAGCUGACACAUGGCCAGGCGAGGAGAUGGCAGGGACCAGAUCUCACCCAUCUUGGUUCGCCUUACACCAGCGAGGUGCUCCGUAAAUAUUGCUGGUUUGCUUGAUUCAAGUGAGAUAUAUCGCCUCUUUCAGAUGGCUUUCAGUGCCUGAGCUGAUGGUUUCUCCAGUGUGGAUUACAAGCCCUAAGGCCACACCUUCCUCUGAUGCAGCUUGAAAGUAGUGAACUGGAUUUUCCACUGUUCUUUCUCUUACUAUUGCUGUCAAGACAGAUGGCCAGUGCCCACAGCAAGUAAGCAUCAAUCCCAGGACUCCGAGAGCCAGUGGGAAACAAUCCUGAGUGGGAAAACAAGAGUGAUGAGGCUUUUCUUCUUGCACAGGUCCCUGCAGGUACAGAUUGGAGUCAUAUGAUGGGAAGCAGAGCCCAGGAGAACGGGCAGGUGCAGAAGGCCUUGAGAGGGGGCAGUGGCUCCGGGUUAGGAGAUUUGCGUUUGGAGCACACUAUUUCCCUAAUGAAGUGGGGGUACCAACACUUCUGCUCAAAGGGAGGAGACAUCGCAAGGUCAAGUGGCACAUAGCCUGAAUGCGCUGGAUGACCAAGAAACACCAGUCAGACAUCCGGAAGGCAGUAACAACCUACUUACAUUUUUUCUGAGGUCUCUUUUAAAUGGGAUAAAUGGAGAGAUUUCACUGAGUUAAUCACAGCAGAAUUCUUCUUUGCCUGUGUAUCUCCCCAAAGUUGGCCACGCUGUUAGUUGUACCAGUUCCUCCAUCUGGAAGCUCCCUAUCCCCCCUUCUCUCUUCCCAAACCUGUAAACCAAACUUCAGACAUGGAGGAGGGCCAGCAGGAGAAAACCAAACUCUUGUAUCCCUAUCUCCUUUCUGGCUUCCUAUUUUAACUGUGUUGUUCACAUUUACUCCCUCCUUCCUGGAAUUGCUUUAAAGGUUUUCAAAGGCAUUUAAGACACAUGUUUGGGUGGGAAAAGACUGUGCUUCUAAAGCAGUGUUUACUCACCUAAGCACGUCAGCACUCCUGUCUCCUCCUACCCCCCUCAAUUCACACUGUGGGGAGUGAGAGUGGAACAACCACAACAAAACCUGGGCAAGUCAUUUAAUGUCUCUGAGCCUCAGUUUCAUUAUCUGCAAAAUGGGAUGACAUACCCAGGAAUGAUUAACCGGGGUAAUGAAUGUAAGGCACCUAGUAUGUGGCUGGAAACAAUAUAGCUCUUCCGUAGACAGUCACAUUUGGUCAACAACAUUGUACGGUGGCCUAGGGGAUGUGCUCACAUGUCUCAGACUGAGCUUGCUUCCUGGGAAAAUCCCUGAUAUAAUAGGAGAGAUAAGACAGGCAUAGCAAUACCUCUAAGAGAAAGUAGAGAAUGCUGAGAGGACGGUACAGACCUGAGAGAGAUGAGGAUAGGCAGAACCCGGAAAGCUCCCUGGAAAGGUGAGGUUUGAAUGGGUCCUUUCCCUGCUGGAUGGUCAGAUUUGGCUAUAAAUGGAAGCAGAGGAAGGGAAAGUGUGGUGCCUGUACAGGGAGAGAGUCGUAACACAGAAUGAGUAGGUAGUAGCGCUGGAAAGCGAAUGGAAGGUGGGUAUGACUCUGAUUAAGGACUAACUUUAUUGUCCCAGAGUUAGAAUUACA
Molecule: long non-coding RNA, 1834 nt
Organism: Rhinolophus ferrumequinum (greater horseshoe bat)
Lineage: Eukaryota; Metazoa; Chordata; Mammalia; Chiroptera; Rhinolophidae
Exons: 4
Source: RefSeq, a predicted model, not a curated record